UCCAGACUCCUACGGGAGGCAGCAGUGGGGAAUAUUGCACAAUGGGGGAAACCCUGAUGCAGCGACGCCGCGUGAGUGAAGAAGUAUUUCGGUAUGUAAAGCUCUAUCAGCAGGGAAGAAAAUGACGGUACCUGACUAAGAAGCCCCGGCUAACUACGUGCCAGCAGCCGCGGUAAUACGUAGGGGGCAAGCGUUAUCCGGAUUUACUGGGUGUAAAGGGAGCGUAGACGGCAUGGCAAGUCAGAUGUGAAAGCCCGGGGCUCAACCCCGGGACUGCAUUUGAAACUGUAGUUCUUGAGUACUGGAGAGGCAGACGGAAUUCCUAGUGUAGCGGUGAAAUGCGUAGAUAUUAGGAGGAACACCAGUGGCGAAGGCGGUCUGCUGGACAGCAACUGACGCUGAGGCGCGAAAGCGUGGGGAGCAAACAGGAUUAGAUACCCCAGUA
Molecule: ribosomal RNA, 445 nt
Filed under: uncultured bacterium
Lineage: Bacteria
Description: bacterial SSU rRNA
Rfam family: Bacterial small subunit ribosomal RNA
Source: RNAcentral